This 253-nucleotide ribosomal RNA is filed under the name uncultured bacterium. RNAcentral describes it as "partial 16S ribosomal RNA". It matches the Rfam family "Bacterial small subunit ribosomal RNA", at positions 524 to 776 of the family's 1533-position model. The record is from RNAcentral.
UACGUAGGGGGCUAGCGUUGUCCGGAAUCAUUGGGCGUAAAGAGCGUGUAGGCGGUCCGGUAAGUCCGCUGUGAAAGUCGGGGGCUCAACCCUCGAAUGCCGGUGGAUACUGCCGGGCUAGAGUCCGGAAGAGGCGAGUGGAACUCCUGGUGUAGCGGUGGAAUGCGCAGAUAUCAGGAAGAACACCAACGGCGAAGGCAGCUCGCUGGGACGGUACUGACGCUGAGACGCGAAAGCGUGGGGAGCGAACAGG